ACUAAGUGAAUGUAAGGUGUGAACUAAGUGAAUGUAAGGUAUGAACUAAGUGAAUGUAAGGUGUGAACUAAGUGAAUAUGAGGUGUGAACUAAGUGAAUGUAAG
Molecule: long non-coding RNA, 104 nt
Organism: Haliotis rufescens (red abalone)
Lineage: Eukaryota; Metazoa; Mollusca; Gastropoda; Lepetellida; Haliotidae
Exons: 3
Source: RefSeq, a predicted model, not a curated record